CACCACAAUGAAAAAAUACAAAACUAGAGGUUCCAGACCUCUGGGGUAGAAGUAGAGGGGGUCGGCAUCCCUAGAAGAUCGUCAGCGAUGGCCACGGCAGUCGACGAGGUCCCGACUGGAAGAGGAUCGACGGUGACUCUGGAUGGUCUGGCUUCAUCAUCGGAUGCCUCGUUCAGGAAGCCGAGAUCCAAUUCGGGAAACCUCCCAGCCACCUUCUCUUGGCAG
RNAcentral lists this long non-coding RNA (225 nucleotides) under Elaeis guineensis (African oil palm). Its description in RNAcentral is "long non-coding RNA (EGUI_LNC043694)". The record is from RNAcentral. Lineage: Eukaryota; Viridiplantae; Streptophyta; Magnoliopsida; Arecales; Arecaceae.